Molecule: ribosomal RNA, 497 nt
Filed under: uncultured bacterium
Lineage: Bacteria
Description: partial 16S ribosomal RNA
Rfam family: Bacterial small subunit ribosomal RNA
Source: RNAcentral
GAUGAACGCUGGCGGCGUGCCUAAUACAUGCAAGUCGAGCGAACAGACGAGGAGCUUGCUCCUCUGACGUUAGCGGCGGACGGGUGAGUAACACGUGGAUAACCUACCUAUAAGACUGGGAUAACUUCGGGAAACCGGAGCUAAUACCGGAGAAUAUAUUGAACCGCAUGGUUCAAUAGUGAAAGACGGUUGUGCUGGCACUUAUAGAUGGAUCCGCGCCGCAUUAGCUAGUUGGUAAGGUAACGGCUUACCAAGGCAACGAGGCGUAGCCGACCUGAGAGGGUGAUCGGCCACACUGGAACUGAGACACGGUCCAGACUCCUACGGGAGGCAGCAGUGGGGAAUCUUCCGCAAUGGGCGAAAGCUUGACGGAGCAACGCCGCGUGAGUGAUGAAGGUCUUCGGAUCGUAAAACUCUGUUAUUAGGGAAGAACAAAUGUGUAAGUAACUAUGCACGUCUUGACGGUACCUAAUCAGAAAGCCACGGCUAACUACGUG